CUGCUGCCUUCCGUAGGAGUCUGGGCCGUGUCUCAGUCCCAGUGUGGCCGAUCACCCUCUCAGGUCGGCUACCCAUCGUUGCCUUGGUGGGCCGUUACCUCACCAACUAGCUAAUGGGUCGCGAGCCCAUCCUAUACCGAAUAUUUCUUUUACCCUGUAUCAUGCGAUACUGUGGUCUUAUACCGUAUUAGCACAAAUUUCUCUGUGUUAUCCCGUUGUAUAGGGCAGGUUGCUCACGCGUUACUCACCCGUUCG
RNAcentral lists this ribosomal RNA (255 nucleotides) under uncultured bacterium. RNAcentral's name for it is "partial 16S ribosomal RNA". The record is from RNAcentral.